This 549-nucleotide ribosomal RNA is filed under the name uncultured bacterium. RNAcentral describes it as "bacterial SSU rRNA". It matches the Rfam family "Bacterial small subunit ribosomal RNA", at positions 355 to 896 of the family's 1533-position model. The record is from RNAcentral.
UGGGGAAUAUUGGACAAUGGGGGAAACCCUGAUCCAGCGACGCCGCGUGUGUGAAGAAGGCCUGCGGGUUGUAAAGCACUUUUAGUGGGGACAAAAAGCUACGGAUUAAUACUCUGUGGUCUUGAUUUAACCCAAAGAAUAAGCACCGACUAACUACGUGCCAGCAGUCGCGGUAAUACGUAGGGUGCAAGCGUUGUUCGGAAUUACUGGGCGUAAAGUAUAUGUAGGCGGUCUUUUAAGUUAGAAGUGUAAUCCCUGGGCCCAACUCAGGAACUGCUUCUAAGACUAUUAGGCUUGAAUGUGGUAGAGGAUAGUGGAAUUCUUGGUGUAGGGGUAAAAUCCAUAGAUAUCAAGAGGAACACCGAAAGCGAAGGCAGCUAUCUGGGCCAUUAUUGACGCUGAGAUAUGAAAGCGUGGGGAGCAAACAGGAUUAGAUACCCUGGUAGUCCACGCCGUAAACGAUGAGUGCUAGGUGCUGGUAUCCUUGUGAUUUCAGUGCCGAAGCUAACGCGUUAAGCACUCCGCCUGGGGACUACGGUCGCAAGACUA